GACGAACGCUGGCGGCAUGCCUUACACAUGCAAGUCGAACGGCAGCACGGGAGCAAUCCUGGUGGCGAGUGGCGAACGGGUGAGUAAUAUAUCGGAACGUGCCCAGUAGUGGGGGAUAACUGCUCGAAAGAGCAGCUAAUACCGCAUACGACCUGAGGGUGAAAGGGGGGGAUCGCAAGACCUCUCGCUAUUGGAGCGGCCGAUAUCAGAUUAGCUAGUUGGUGGGGUAAAGGCCUAACAAGGCAACGAAUUGUAGUUGGUCUGAGAGGACGGCCAACACCACUGGGACUGAGACACGGCCCAGACACCUACGGGAGGCAGCAGUGGGGAAUGUUGGACAAUGGGGGCAACCCUGAUCCAGCCGUUCCGAGUGAGUGAAGAAGGCCUUCGGGUUGUAAAGCUCUUUCGGCAGGAACGAAACGGCGAGCUCUAACAUAGCUUGCUAAUGACGGUACCUGAAGAAGAAGCACCGGCUAACUACGUGCCAGCCGCCGCCGUAA
This 500-nucleotide ribosomal RNA is filed under the name uncultured bacterium. RNAcentral's name for it is "partial 16S ribosomal RNA". It matches the Rfam family "Bacterial small subunit ribosomal RNA", at positions 28 to 523 of the family's 1533-position model. The record is from RNAcentral.